Molecule: long non-coding RNA, 1785 nt
Organism: Ictalurus punctatus (channel catfish)
Lineage: Eukaryota; Metazoa; Chordata; Actinopteri; Siluriformes; Ictaluridae
Source: Ensembl
GUUAAAGAUGGAAAGAAACACAGUAUAAAGUUUAAAGAUGGAUAUAAACACAGUAUAAAGUUUAAAGAUGGAAAGAAACACAGUAUAAAGUUUAAAGAUGGAAAGAAACACAGUAUAAAGGUAAAAGAUGGAUAGAAAUACAGUAUAAAGUUUAAAGAUGGAAAGAAACACAGUAUAAAGUUUAAAGAUGGAUAGAAAUACAGUAUACUGCAGUGUUUAUUUCCAAGGCAGAGUGUAACAUGUCUGUUUAUGACAUGGUAAUGGAGGGGAGGAGUGCGCUUUCAAGGAAGGUCAAAUGCCAAUAAUACGGUAUACGUGGUCUGAAACAUUAACAUGUAUGUCUCAGUGUGAAUGACUGAUCAUCAAACCCAAUCAACAGCUUUGGUUUAUUGCUAUCUUAAACAAACACACGUCCUUUCAAAGCCUGUUUCCUGCCUGCCAGCUUAAACGAGACCCCCGCUAGCAGUAGCUACCCCAUGCUGAGGCUCCAAACCGGACCCCGGACUCUAGAAAACGAGCUGCAGCGCAACACAGAGAACAACAUAAUUAACUCUUAAUGAACCUCCUUCUUCCAUCACUAACACACACUUCCCAAAUUCAAUUUGGCCUAAUCCUGCCUUUAUGGUAAUGUAUAGCUCAUUAAAAUGUUAGUUACAGACUCAUUAAAAUGCACUCAGAGACAUAAUGAAUUCAUUACUAUGAUACUGCUGAAAAAGAAAGAGGAGCUAGACGAGAAGAAGGACACGGGAGAAGAAAGCAAAGGAAAGAGCGAGAAUGAGAGAGGAAGACAGGCUUCCCGAUGACUUAAUUUUGACUGGAAUCUGCAUAUAUUUGCAUAAUAAACCUGCAUGCUGUGCAGCUAAUUUUCAGCAUAGCUCUAUAAUGAAGGCCCUUGCAAUUAAGAUUCUUUUCUUCAAAAUAAAUGUAGGACCCGUUCAUAGCUCUUUGUAGCGUCUCACUUUGUGUGUACGCAUCUGUCUGGGUGUGUCAGUGAUGUCUCGUUUGGGUUACAUUCGAAUUAUUUUGCCUAAGUAUGGUAGCUGAUGAAUGCAGGUCAAAGACGACCCAACAAUAUAAACAUAAACGAUGUUGAAAACACCACCUGUGCGCAAAAGCAGCGUGUCCAGAAUGUGAAUUUUCAGCCAUUAAGUGUUUUUCAGCUAGUUCUUCAGCUUUGUAACCCUGCGCUGUGAAGGAAUCAGAGAAGGCAGCAGUAGCAAAGAGACUCCCAAAAAGCCAAGGUCUUCAAGAGACGAUGUUUCAGCCGCUGUAGUCUGAUUCUGCCUAAUGAACGUAGCUGGAGAGCUCUGAAAACUUGGAGACUGAGUAGAAUCAAAAGACUUCAUCUCAUCAUCCAACUCCGCUGCUAACACGCCUGCUUUUAUCCCGUACCUCGGAAUCAAACAAACGUCUGACUGCAUGCGAGAGACGAGACUCAAGACAGAAGCUGGGGAUGAUUGUGAGAUCAAAGACAUGAAUUGGCUGAUCAGGUUGGGAGAUUCAUAUUCCUCUGUAAAACAGGGAGAAAGGCAAACCUUUUGCAGCAUUAAAUAUGUUGCUGGCUGUGUAAGUUUUCUUAUAUUCGUUACUACGCCUUUGAUAUAGAUCUCUAAUUAGUUUGUCAAGAUGGUGAUCACAUGCCGGGGUUGUAAGAACCCUGAUGGAAAUGAACCCUUUGGCGGAAUCAAAGUUUUUUUUUCUUUUUCCAUUAGUAUCAAAGGGUAUUUAGCCACUGUUGGCUUUUAGACUGUCAGGGCAGAAUACUACCAGGAAGGCUUAACACAG